CACACAGUGAGUUCAGACUGUACAGCGCCCGGGAGCAGGGGGCGGGGCCAUCUCUAUAACGCAUUAUAAAUAUAUUUAUAAUAUAAUAAACAUACUUUUAUUGCGUUGCUGUUGUUAUAUCAACACACUGAACUGGAGCUUCCCGAAGGAACAAUUAGACAACCAGCAGGACCCAUGAGAGGAAUAACUUCAUCUUUCUGUGUGAAUAUUAAUCACCGCUCUGAAAUAAGACAACACAUGCUGACCUCCGAGAAACAAAAUCACAGCUGACAUUUAAAAGCUGAGACGAGUUGGAGAUCAUCUUUCCUUUAAAGUCCUGUGUUGUAUAUGUAGUCCAUCCAUCCAUCGUCUACCGCUUAUCCG
Cottoperca gobio is the source of this 363-nucleotide long non-coding RNA. RefSeq lists it as uncharacterized. The transcript is spliced from 3 exons. Lineage: Eukaryota; Metazoa; Chordata; Actinopteri; Perciformes; Bovichtidae. The record is from RefSeq and is a predicted model, not a curated record.